GAAGGCAGCUGUCAACCUUGCAGGAAGCCCACUAUUAAAAGGAAACAGAAGUGUCAUUAGGAGCCCUGCUGUCACUGUGGAUUGAGCAGGCAUGCUGAGCCCUGAGGGCAGACUGGGGAGGGGGCUGGACCUCAUCCAUGGACUGAGAAAGCAGCAGCGGAGACCCUGACCAAGG
This 175-nucleotide long non-coding RNA is filed under the name Vulpes vulpes (red fox). RNAcentral describes it as "Pvt1 onco conserved region 2 (ENSVVUG00000016926.1)". It matches the Rfam family "Pvt1 oncogene conserved region 2". The record is from RNAcentral. Lineage: Eukaryota; Metazoa; Chordata; Mammalia; Carnivora; Canidae.